UAGGGAAUCUUCCGCAAUGGGCGAAAGCCUGACGGAGCAACGCCGCGUGAGUGAUGAAGGUCUUCGGAUCGUAAAACUCUGUUAUUAGGGAAGAACAAAUGUGUAAGUAACUAUGCACGUCUUGACGGUACCUAAUCAGAAAGCCACGGCUAACUACGUGCCAGCAGCCGCGGUAAUACGUAGGUGGCAAGCGUUAUCCGGAAUUAUUGGGCGUAAAGCGCGCGUAGGCGGUUUUUUAAGUCUGAUGUGAAAGCCCACGGCUCAACCGUGGAGGGUCAUUGGAAACUGGAAAACUUGAGUGCAGAAGAGGAAAGUGGAAUUCCAUGUGUAGCGGUGAAAUGCGCAGAGAUAUGGAGGAACACCAGUGGCGAAGGCGACUUUCUGGUCUGUAACUGACGCUGAUGUGCAAAAGCGUGGGGAUCAAACAGG
RNAcentral lists this ribosomal RNA (429 nucleotides) under Actinomycetes bacterium. Its description in RNAcentral is "Actinobacteria bacterium partial 16S ribosomal RNA". It matches the Rfam family "Bacterial small subunit ribosomal RNA", at positions 355 to 776 of the family's 1533-position model. The record is from RNAcentral. RNAcentral also lists the same sequence under 1 other name. Lineage: Bacteria; Bacillati; Actinomycetota; Actinomycetes.